RNAcentral lists this long non-coding RNA (355 nucleotides) under Dasypus novemcinctus (nine-banded armadillo). RNAcentral's name for it is "lncRNA (ENSDNOG00000051196.1)". Lineage: Eukaryota; Metazoa; Chordata; Mammalia; Cingulata; Dasypodidae. The record is from RNAcentral.
UGAGCCAGUCUGGGAUGGGUUUCUGAGUUUUGUCCUCCAUGAUCAUGAUCACCCUUAUUCCCCAGGUCCUCAGGUCUUGUCCACUCCCAACCACCCAAAAUGGCUGGUUCCUGGGCUGCUUCUCAGCCUGCUUGGCUUGACGGUCAUUGUUGCUGCUCUUCUGGGUUAUUUCAGACCCUGGAGAAGAGCAGAACAUCACCAGAAUGAGAAAGAUGAAGGUGUUAUCUACUCUAUGGUGUAUACAGGUCCAAAAAGGAGAAAAGGUGAGUAAUCAUGGGUCAAACUUGACAUCUUUGUAAAUAUCAAAGGGAAUUCCUGGGCCUACAUUGAAGGUAUCACUGCCACACCACCACUG